This is a non-coding RNA of Melospiza melodia melodia, 73 nucleotides long. The record is from the annotation of a RefSeq genome assembly. Lineage: Eukaryota; Metazoa; Chordata; Aves; Passeriformes; Passerellidae.
AACUGGCUAGCUCAGUUGGUAGAGCAUGAGACCCUUAAUCUCAGGGUUGUGGGUUCAAGCCCCACGUUGGGCG